UUAGCUCAGUUGGUUAGAGCACCUGACUGUUAAUCAGGGGGUCGUAGGUUCAAGUCCUACA
Molecule: transfer RNA, 61 nt
Filed under: bovine gut metagenome
Rfam family: tRNA
About the family: Transfer RNA (tRNA) molecules are approximately 80 nucleotides in length. Their secondary structure includes four short double-helical elements and three loops (D, anti-codon, and T loops). Further hydrogen bonds mediate the characteristic L-shaped molecular structure. tRNAs have two regions of fundamental functional importance: the anti-codon, which is responsible for specific mRNA codon recognition, and the 3' end, to which the tRNAs corresponding amino acid is attached (by aminoacyl-tRNA synthetases). tRNAs cope with the degeneracy of the genetic code in two manners: having more than one tRNA (with a specific anti-codon) for a particular amino acid; and 'wobble' base-pairing, i.e. permitting non-standard base-pairing at the 3rd anti-codon position.
Source: RNAcentral